Molecule: ribosomal RNA, 397 nt
Filed under: uncultured bacterium
Lineage: Bacteria
Description: bacterial SSU rRNA
Rfam family: Bacterial small subunit ribosomal RNA
Source: RNAcentral
UAAUACGAAGGGUGCAAGCGUUACUCGGAAUCACUGGGCGUAAAGCGUGCGUAGGCGGUUGGUUAAGUCUGCUGUGAAAGCCCUGGGCUCAACCUGGGAACUGCAGUGGAUACUGGCCAGCUAGAGUGUGAUAGAGGAUGGUGGAAUUCCCGGUGUAGCGGUGAAAUGCGUAGAGAUCGGGAGGAACACCAGUGGCGAAGGCGGCCAUCUGGAUCAACACUGACGCUGAGGCACGAAAGCGUGGGGAGCAAACAGGAUUAGAUACCCUGGUAGUCCACGCCCUAAACGAUGCGAACUGGACGUUGGUUGCAACUUGGCAAUCAGUGUCGAAGCUAACGCGUUAAGUUCGCCGCCUGGGGAGUACGGUCGCAAGACUGAAACUUAAAUGAAUUGACGG